RNAcentral lists this ribosomal RNA (373 nucleotides) under uncultured bacterium. RNAcentral's name for it is "bacterial SSU rRNA". It matches the Rfam family "Bacterial small subunit ribosomal RNA", at positions 524 to 898 of the family's 1533-position model. The record is from RNAcentral.
UACGGAGGGUGCGAGCGUUAUCCGGAAUCACUGGGUUUAAAGGGUACGUAGGCGGUUAAUUAAGUCAGCAGUGAAAGACUGUCGCUCAACGACGGAUGUGCUGUUGAUACUGGUUAACUUGAAAUGGGUUAGAGUUGGCGGAAUGGGUCAUGUAGCGGUGAAAUGCUUAGAUAUGACUUGGAACACCGAUAGCGAAGGCAGCUGACUGAACCUUGUUUGACGCUGAGGUACGAAAGUGUGGGUAGCGAACAGGAUUAGAUACCCUGGUAGUCCACACCCUAAACUAUGCAGACUGGAUGUUGGGCGGCAAUAGUUCAGCAUCUGAGGGAAACCAUUAAGUCUGCCACCUGGGGAGUACGCCGGCAACGGUGAA